AUUGAACGCUGGCGGCAGGCCUAACACAUGCAAGUCGAGCGGAGGAAGGGAGCUUGCUCCUGGAUUCAGCGGCGGACGGGUGAGUAAUGCCUAGGAAUCUGCCUGGUAGUGGGGGAUAACGUCCGGAAACGGGCGCUAAUACCGCAUACGUCCUGAGGGAGAAAGUGGGGGAUCUUCGGACCUCACGCUAUCAGAUGAGCCUAGGUCGGAUUAGCUAGUUGGUGGGGUAAAGGCCUACCAAGGCGACGAUCCGUAACUGGUCUGAGAGGAUGAUCAGUCACACUGGAACUGAGCCACGGUCCAGACUCCUACGGGAGGCAGCAGUGGGGAAUAUUGGACAAUGGGCGAAAGCCUGAUCCAGCCAUGCCGCGUGUGUGAAGAAGGUCUUCGGAUUGUAAAGCACUUUAAGUUGGGAGGAAGGGCAGUAAGUUAAUACCUUGCUGUUUUGACGUUACCAACAGAAUAAGCACCGGCUAACUUCGUG
This 484-nucleotide ribosomal RNA is filed under the name uncultured bacterium. Its description in RNAcentral is "partial 16S ribosomal RNA". It matches the Rfam family "Bacterial small subunit ribosomal RNA", at positions 30 to 507 of the family's 1533-position model. The record is from RNAcentral.